GGCAGUGGUAGAUCAGUGGUUAAGACAUUGGAUUACUGAUUAAAAGGAUGUGAGUUCAAAUCCCAGCACUGCUA
Molecule: non-coding RNA, 74 nt
Organism: Ameiurus melas (black bullhead)
Lineage: Eukaryota; Metazoa; Chordata; Actinopteri; Siluriformes; Ictaluridae
Source: the annotation of a GenBank genome assembly